UACGUAGGGGGCUAGCGUUGUCCGGAAUCAUUGGGCGUAAAGAGCGCGUAGGCGGCCCGGUAAGUCCGUUGUGAAAGUCAAAGGCUCAACCUUUGAAUGCCGAUGGAUACUGCCGGGCUCGAGUCCGGAAGAGGCGAGUGGAAUUCCUGGUGUAGCGGUGGAAUGCGCAGAUAUCAGGAGGAACACCGAUAGCGAAGGCAGCUCGCUGGGACGGUACUGACGCUGAGGCGCGAAAGCGUGGGGAGCGAACAGG
Molecule: ribosomal RNA, 253 nt
Filed under: uncultured bacterium
Lineage: Bacteria
Description: partial 16S ribosomal RNA
Rfam family: Bacterial small subunit ribosomal RNA
Source: RNAcentral